UACAGAGGGUGCGCGCGUUAAUCGGAAUUACUGGGCGUAAAGCGCGCGUAGGCGGCUUGUUAAGUCGGAUGUGAAAUCCCUGGGCUCAACCUAGGCAUUGCAUUCGAUACUGGCAAGCUAGAGUAUGGGAGAGGAAGGUAGAAUUCCAGGUGUAGCGGUGAAAUGCGUAGAGAUCUGGAGGAAUACCGAUGGCGAAGGCAGCCUUCUGGUCUAAUACUGACGCUGAGGUGCGAAAGCAUGGGGAGCAAACAGG
Molecule: ribosomal RNA, 253 nt
Filed under: uncultured bacterium
Lineage: Bacteria
Description: partial 16S ribosomal RNA
Rfam family: Bacterial small subunit ribosomal RNA
Source: RNAcentral